UCUACGGGAGGCAGCAGUGAGGAAUAUUGGUCAAUGGGCUUACGCCUGAACCAGCCAAGUCGCGUGAGGGAAGACUGCCCUAUGGGUUGUAAACCUCUUUUGUCAGGGAGCAACGCCGGCUACGUGUAGCCGGACUGAGAGUACCUGAAGAAAAAGCAUCGGCUAACUCCGUGCCAGCAGCCGCGGUAAUACGGAGGAUCCGAGCGUUAUCCGGAUUUAUUGGGUUUAAAGGGAGCGUAGAUGGGUUGUUAAGUCAGUUGUGAAAGUUUGCGGCUCAACCGUAAAAUUGCAAUUGAUACUGGCAGCCUUGAGUACAGUUGAGGUAGGCGGAAUUCGUGGUGUAGCGGUGAAAUGCUUAGAUAUCACGAAGAACUCCGAUUGCGAAGGCAGCUUACUAAACUGCCACUGACAUUGAUGCUCGAAAGUGUGGGUAUCAAACAGGAUUAGAUACCCCAGUAGUC
Molecule: ribosomal RNA, 461 nt
Filed under: uncultured bacterium
Lineage: Bacteria
Description: partial 16S ribosomal RNA
Rfam family: Bacterial small subunit ribosomal RNA
Source: RNAcentral